RNAcentral lists this ribosomal RNA (1395 nucleotides) under Staphylococcus warneri. RNAcentral's name for it is "bacterial SSU rRNA". It matches the Rfam family "Bacterial small subunit ribosomal RNA", at positions 70 to 1445 of the family's 1533-position model. The record is from RNAcentral. Lineage: Bacteria; Bacillati; Bacillota; Bacilli; Caryophanales; Staphylococcaceae.
GAUAAGGAGCUUGCUCCUUUGACGUUAGCGGCGGACGGGUGAGUAACACGUGGAUAACCUACCUAUAAGACUGGGAUAACUUCGGGAAACCGGAGCUAAUACCGGAUAACAUAUUGAACCGCAUGGUUCAAUAGUGAAAGGCGGCUUUGCUGUCACUUAUAGAUGGAUCCGCGCCGUAUUAGCUAGUUGGUAAGGUAACGGCUUACCAAGGCAACGAUACGUAGCCGACCUGAGAGGGUGAUCGGCCACACUGGAACUGAGACACGGUCCAGACUCCUACGGGAGGCAGCAGUAGGGAAUCUUCCGCAAUGGGCGAAAGCCUGACGGAGCAACGCCGCGUGAGUGAUGAAGGUCUUCGGAUCGUAAAACUCUGUUAUCAGGGAAGAACAAAUGUGUAAGUAACUGUGCACAUCUUGACGGUACCUGAUCAGAAAGCCACGGCUAAACUACGUGCCAGCAGCCCGCGGUAAUACGUAGGUGGCAAGCGUUAUCCGGAAUUAUUGGGCGUAAAGCGCGCGUAGGCGGUUUUUUUAAGUCUGAUGUGAAAGCCCACGGCUCAACCGUGGAGGGUCAUUGGAAACUGGAAAACUUGAGUGCAGAAGAGGAAAGUGGAAUUCCAUGUGUAGCGGUGAAAUGCGCAGAGAUAUGGAGGAACACCAGUGGCGAAGGCGACUUUCUGGUCUGUAACUGACGCUGAUGUGCGAAAGCGUGGGGAUCAAACAGGAUUAGAUACCCUGGUAGUCCACGCCGUAAACGAUGAGUGCUAAGUGUUAGGGGGUUUCCGCCCCUUAGUGCUGCAGCUAACGCAUUAAGCACUCCGCCUGGGGAGUACGACCGCAAGGUUGAAACUCAAAGGAAUUGACGGGGACCCGCACAAGCGGUGGAGCAUGUGGUUUAAUUCGAAGCAACGCGAAGAACCUUACCAAAUCUUGACAUCCUUUGACCACUCUAGAGAUAGAGUUUUCCCCUUCGGGGGACAAAGUGACAGGUGGUGCAUGGUUGUCGUCAGCUCGUGUCGUGAGAUGUUGGGUUAAGUCCCGCAACGAGCGCAACCCUUAAGCUUAGUUGCCAUCAUUAAGUUGGGCACUCUAAGUUGACUGCCGGUGACAAACCGGAGGAAGGUGGGGAUGACGUCAAAUCAUCAUGCCCCUUAUGAUUUGGGCUACACACGUGCUACAAUGGACAAUACAAAGGGCAGCUAAACCGCGAGGUCAAGCAAAUCCCAUAAAGUUGUUCUCAGUUCGGAUUGUAGUCUGCAACUCGACUACAUGAAGCUGGAAUCGCUAGUAAUCGUAGAUCAGCAUGCUACGGUGAAUACGUUCCCGGGUCUUGUACACACCGCCCGUCACACCACGAGAGUUUGUAACACCCGAAGCCGGUGGAGUAACCAUUUAU